GACGAACGCUGGCGGCGUGCUUAACACAUGCAAGUCGAACGAUGAAGCUAGAGCUUGCUCUGGUGGAUUAGUGGCGAACGGGUGAGUAACACGUGAGUAACCUGCCCCGAACUCUGGGAUAACUGCUGGAGACGGUAGCUAAUACUGGAUACGACCAACGAAGGCAUCUUCUGUUGGUGGAAAGAAUUUCGGUUCGGGAUGGACUCGCGGCCUAUCAGCUUGUUGGUGAGGUAACGGCUCACCAAGGCGACGACGGGUAGCCGGCCUGAGAGGGUGAUCGGCCACACUGGGAAUGAGACACGGCCCAGACUCCUACGGGAGGCAGCAGUGGGGAAUAUUGCACAAUGGGCGCAAGCCUGAUGCAGCAACGCCGCGUGAGGGAUGACGGCCUUCGGGUUGUAAACCUCUUUUAGUAGGGAAGAAGCGAAAGUGACGGUACCUGCAGAAAAAGCACCGGCUAACUACGUGCCAGCCGCCGCAGUAA
Molecule: ribosomal RNA, 484 nt
Filed under: uncultured bacterium
Lineage: Bacteria
Description: partial 16S ribosomal RNA
Rfam family: Bacterial small subunit ribosomal RNA
Source: RNAcentral